UGAAAAGAACUUUGAAAAGAGAGUUAAACAGUACGUGAAAUUGUUGAAAGGGAAACGAUUGAAGUCAGUCAUACCAACGGGAAAUCAACCUUUUGAGCUCGGUCUCGUGGGUUUUGAAGAGUUUCAAAGCCUUCGGAUUCGCGGGAUUGGGAUCUCUUGGUGUACUUUUUCGUACGGUUAGUCAACAUCGGUUUUGAAUGUCAUAAAAUGACUGGA
RNAcentral lists this ribosomal RNA (216 nucleotides) under uncultured Glomus. Its description in RNAcentral is "partial 25S ribosomal RNA". It matches the Rfam family "Eukaryotic large subunit ribosomal RNA", at positions 365 to 605 of the family's 3401-position model. Lineage: Eukaryota; Fungi; Glomeromycota; Glomeromycetes; Glomerales; Glomeraceae. The record is from RNAcentral.